AUUACCGCGAAGUGAUUGAUACCAUGCUUCCAAGAAAAGCCUCUAAGCUUCAGUUACAAGGAGACCGUACCGCAAACCGACACAGGUGGGCAGGAUGAAAAUUCUAAGGCGCUUGAGAGAACUCAGGAGAAGGAACUCGGCAAAUUUGCACCGUAACUUCGGGAAAAGGUGCGCCCUGAUAGGUUGUAGCCCCUCGCGGGUGAAGGCUGAAAGGGUUGCAGUGAAAUGGUGGCUGCGACUGUUUAAUAAAAACACAGCACUCUGCAAACACGAAAGUGGACGUAUAGGGUGUGACGCCUGCCCGGUGCCGGAAGGUUAAGUGAUGGGGUGCAAGCUCUUGAUCGAAGCCCCGGUAAACGGCGGCCGUAACAAUAACGGUCCUAAGGUAGCGAAAUUCCUUGUCGGGUAAGUUCCGACCUGCACGAAUGGCGUAACGAUGGCCACACUGUCUCCUCCUGAGACUCAGCGAAGUUGAAGUGGUUGUGAAGAUGCAAUCUCCCCGCGGUUAGACGGAAAGACCCCAUGAACCUUUACUGUAGCUUUGCAUUGGACUUUGAACCGACUUGUGUAGGAUAGGUGGGAGGCUGUGAAGCCGGGACGCUAGUUCUGGUGGAGCCAACCUUGAAAUACCACCCUGGUUUGUUUGAGGUUCUAACCACGGCCCGUGAAUCCGGGUCUGGGACCGUGCAUGGUAGGCAGUUUGACUGGGGCGGUCUCCUCCUAAAGUGUAACGGAGGAGUACGAAGGUACGCUAGGUACGGUCGGACAUCGUGCUAAUAGUGCAAUGGCAAAAGCGUGCUUGACUGCGAGACCCACACGUCGAGCAGGUACGAAAGUAGGUCAUAGUGAUCCGGUGGUUCUGUAUGGAAGGGCCAUCGCUCAACGGAUAAAAGGUACUCUGGGGAUAACAGGCUAAUACCGCCCAAGAGUUCAUAUCGACGGCGGUGUUUGGCACCUCGAUGUCGGCUCAUCACAUCCUGGGGCUGUAGUCGGUCCCAAGGGUAUGGCUGUUCGCCAUUUAAAGUGGUACGUGAGCUGGGUUUAAAACGUCGUGAGACAGUUUGGUCCCUAUCUGCCGUGGGCGCUGGAAAUUUGAAGGGGGCUGCUCCUAGUACGAGAGGACCGGAGUGGACGAACCUCUGGUGUACCGGUUAUGACGCCAGUCGUAUUGCCGGGUAGCUAAGUUCGGAAGAGAUAAACGCUGAAAGCAUCUAAGCGUGAAACUCGCCUUAAGAUGAGAUUUCCCUGGGGACUUGAUCCCCCUGAAGGGUCGUGGUAGACCACCACGUUGAUAGGCUGGGUGUGGAAGCGCAGCAAUGCGUUAUGCUAACCAGUACUAAUUGCCCGUGAGGCUUGGU
This 1358-nucleotide ribosomal RNA is filed under the name metagenome. RNAcentral's name for it is "bacterial LSU rRNA". It matches the Rfam family "Bacterial large subunit ribosomal RNA", at positions 1579 to 2925 of the family's 2925-position model. The record is from RNAcentral.